This 66-nucleotide transfer RNA is filed under the name Doru luteipes. RNAcentral's name for it is "tRNA-Arg". The record is from RNAcentral. Lineage: Eukaryota; Metazoa; Arthropoda; Insecta; Dermaptera; Forficulidae.
UACCUUGCAGCAAGCUCAAUGCGUCCAGUUUCGACCUGGAAGAAGGCUCUGCAAAGCCCAAGGUAA